Molecule: non-coding RNA, 135 nt
Organism: Triticum aestivum (bread wheat)
Lineage: Eukaryota; Viridiplantae; Streptophyta; Magnoliopsida; Poales; Poaceae
Source: Rfam
GAGUUAUUCCCUUCGUUCUGAAUUACUUGUUUUGAAUUUGUCUAGAUAUAAAUGUAUUUAGACUCAUUUUAAUGCUAGAUACCUCCGUAUCUAGACAAAUCUAAGACAAGUAAUUUGGAACGAGGGGAGUACAUG